UGACCUAUCGUAUAAUCGGUUAUUACGGCGGACUGUUAAUCCGUUUAUCAGAGUUCGAGUCUCUGUGGGUCAG
This 73-nucleotide transfer RNA is filed under the name Enterobacter phage vB_EhoM-IME523. Its description in RNAcentral is "tRNA-Asn". It matches the Rfam family "tRNA". From Rfam's summary of the family: Transfer RNA (tRNA) molecules are approximately 80 nucleotides in length. Their secondary structure includes four short double-helical elements and three loops (D, anti-codon, and T loops). The record is from RNAcentral. RNAcentral also lists the same sequence under 1 other name. Lineage: Duplodnaviria; Heunggongvirae; Uroviricota; Caudoviricetes; Pantevenvirales; Straboviridae.